Molecule: ribosomal RNA, 261 nt
Filed under: uncultured Desulfovibrio sp.
Lineage: Bacteria; Pseudomonadati; Thermodesulfobacteriota; Desulfovibrionia; Desulfovibrionales; Desulfovibrionaceae
Description: partial 16S ribosomal RNA
Rfam family: Bacterial small subunit ribosomal RNA
Source: RNAcentral
GUUUGGGGAACGUCUAAAGAGAACUGCCCGGUGGACAAAACCGGAGGAAAGGUGGGGAUGACGUCAAAUCAUCAUGCCCCUUAUGACCUGGGCUACACACGUACUACAAUGGCGCAUACAACGGGAAGCGAAGUGGUGACAUGGAGCAAAUCUCAAAAAGUGCGUCUCAGUUCAGAUUGAAGUCUGCAACUCGACUUCAUGAAGUCGGAAUCGCUAGUAAUCGCGGAUCAGAAUGCCGCGGUGAAUACGUUCUCGGGCCUU